UUUGGGCCCUACCAAUCAUUUUCGGAAAACGACACCCCUGUUGCUGUGUUUUACCCCUCUGCGUCGAGUUUAAAAAUCCGAAUGGGGUUAUUUGGGCCGCGAUCUUGAGGGACAUUAACACCAAUUAACACUGUGAGUUGUUAACUUACUCGGUUCAGUUUCGCGCCAAAUGCAGCGCCGCGCGGGCCUCAGUCGCCAUCUUUGUGCGAUCCAGGGAGGUCGUGUCUGUGCUGCGUGUGACGUCUUGUUGAAUACGGCUCAAGAUGAGCAGAAUGAAGGUAAAUCUCCAAGUCCCACAGUCAGAGCUCAAGACUGUGAGGCAGGACUUCAUUCCUUGAUGAAUGCGGCUCAACUGCUAACAGGAUAAGAAGACACGAACCAAGAGAAGUUGGACGCUUUUGAGAAUUUCCUCUCGUACCGCUAGUGUCAUGGGCGGAGGGAAGCGAGGCUGCCAUCUCCGAAGACAACACGCCUCUGAGUGUGCGCCUCCUAGUUUGUGCGGCAAUGUUCCCCGUGUUCAAUGAGAAAAUUCAAUGCCCCAGCGCCCAGAACUCCCAGCUAGUAUUGACGCAAUAGCUCUCCCAAAUGUCGACCGGAAAGUCGUUAAAAAAAUCGUUGCGACGAUCGGCUCGACAAGCUGAAGACCGCGCCAGUGAAUGCAUGUGAAACGGCACCCUCUCCCAUCGCCAGGCCCAAAGACGUGUUGUUCAUAGGUGUCUUUCUAGUGUUGCUGAUCGCGGAGGACCACUGUCCACUGCUCGUCCGCCGUGGUGUUACUUCUGAUGAGGCUCAGAGCGCAUGUGUAUUGUUUAACUGUGAACAAUCUGUUGAAAUAUAUAAUGAGUAGAUCUGUA
RNAcentral lists this long non-coding RNA (854 nucleotides) under Amphibalanus amphitrite. RNAcentral's name for it is "uncharacterized LOC122374017". Lineage: Eukaryota; Metazoa; Arthropoda; Thecostraca; Balanomorpha; Balanidae. The record is from RNAcentral.